UGGGGAAUAUUGGACAAUGGGGGCAACCCUGAUCCAGCCAUGCCGCGUGAGUGAUGAAGGCCUUCGGGUUGUAAAGCUCUUUUGGCGGGGACGAUGAUGACGGUACCCGCAGAAUAAGCCCCGGCUAACUUCGUGCCAGCAGCCGCGGUAAGACGAAGGGGGCAAGCGUUGUUCGGAAUUACUGGGCGUAAGGGGCGCGUAGGCGGUUUGCUUAGUCAGGCGUGAAAGCCCUGGGCUUAACCUGGGAUGUGCGCUUGAUACUGGCAGGCUUGAGUGUGGGAGAGNUUGGUGGAAUUCCCAGUGUAGAGGUGAAAUUCGUAGAUAUUGGGAAGAACACCGGUGGCGAAGGCGGCCAACUGGACCACAACUGACGCUGAGGCGCGAAAGCGUGGGGAGCAAACA
RNAcentral lists this ribosomal RNA (402 nucleotides) under uncultured bacterium. Its description in RNAcentral is "bacterial SSU rRNA". It matches the Rfam family "Bacterial small subunit ribosomal RNA", at positions 355 to 774 of the family's 1533-position model. The record is from RNAcentral.